RNA transcript from Populus nigra (black poplar), 1655 nucleotides. It is a transcript of the gene named acyl-coenzyme A oxidase 4, peroxisomal-like, with no coding region annotated. The record is from RefSeq and is a predicted model, not a curated record. The transcript is spliced from 14 exons. NCBI's taxonomy places the organism in Eukaryota, Viridiplantae, Streptophyta, Magnoliopsida, Malpighiales, Salicaceae.
UUAAGAAGUUAAGAUGUCGUUAUCCUCAUGACCACAUCAGCGUAGCUUUGCGUGUCAAUGCCACUCUCUCCACCCAUAAGAUCGUAAGUUUUAAAAAUUAAUUUCUCCAACCGUCUUUUUCCUCUAUUUUCCAGCCAUGGCAAUCCCUAAAAAUCAAGAUGAGGUUGAGCAAAAUGCAAGGAGUUCAUAUUUUAAUUUACCGCCGUUGGAUGUUUCCGUCGCCUUCCCUCAAGCAACUCCCGCUUCCACAUUUCCUCCUAGCGUGUCGGAUUACUUUCAAUUUAGUGAUUUAUUAACCGCGGAGGAUCAGGCCAUCAGGAUGAGAGUGAGGCAGUGCAUGGAAAAGGAAAUCGCUCCGAUAAUGGCUGAGUACUGGGAGAAGGCGAAGUUUCCGUUUCAUGUUAUUCCGAAGCUUGGUGCCUUGGGUAUAGCUGGAGGAACGAUAAAGGGUUAUGGGUGUCCUGGUCUCUCGAUCACUACAAGUGCUGUCGCCAUUGCAGAAGUUGCUAGAGUUGAUGCAAGCUGUUCGACUUUUAUUUUGGUGCAUUCAUCUCUGGCAAUGCUCACCAUAGCACUUUGUGGUUCUGAGGAACAGAAGCAGAAAUAUUUACCUUCUUUGGCAAAGUUUAGCACUGUAGCUUGUUGGGCUUUGACUGAGCCUGACUAUGGAAGUGAUGCAAGUUCUCUGCAAACAACAGCAACCAAGGUUGAAGGUGGUUGGAUACUUGAGGGCCAAAAACGCUGGAUAGGAAACAGUACUUUUGCUGAUUUGCUUGUUAUAUUUGCUCGGAAUACCUCCACUGAUCAGAUUAAUGGAUAUAUAGUGAAGAAGGAUGCUCCUGGAUUAACAGUUACAAAAAUUGAAAAUAAAAUUGGCCUCCGUAUAGUACAAAAUGGAGAUAUAGUCAUGAAAAGAGUUUUUGUUCCUGAUGAGGACAGGUUGCCUGGAGUCAACUCGUUUCAAGAUACAAAUAAGGUUCUUGCUGUUUCACGUGUAAUGGUUGCCUGGCAACCUAUUGGCAUAUCAAUGGGGGUCUAUGACAUGUGUCACAGGUAUCUAAAGGAAAGGAAACAAUUUGGAGCCCCAUUGGCAGCCUUUCAAAUCAAUCAACAGAAACUUGUCCACAUACUUGGUAAUGUCCAAGCAAUGGUACUAGUUGGUUGGCGCCUUUGCAAGUUGUAUGAAAAGGGAACAAUGACCCCAGGUCAUGCCAGCUUGGCAAAGUCAUGGAUCAGUUUGAAGGCAAGGGAAACUGCUGCUAUUGGGAGGGAGUUACUUGGUGGCAAUGGAAUUUUGUCCGAUUUUCUUGUUGCCAAGGCAAUGGGUGAUUUAGAACCCAUCUACACAUAUGAAGGCACAUAUGACAUCAACAGCUUGGUAACAGGCAGAGAAAUCACUGGUCUUGCCAGUUUUAAGCCUGCAAUGUCGAGCAAGCGAAGUCGCCUGUAACAGCAUAAACUUUCCCAUGACAUCCACGUGUGUGCUCUUUCUUUUCUGCAAGUUGGGAAAUUACUUGACAAUCUCAUAAGGGAAGAUUCUUAGAUGCAUUAUUUAUAACUGCUAUUAUGUAUUUAUUGUAAGUCAAAAUAAGGUUGAUGAACAUAAAUGUUUAGUUUAUUAUAACAAAUUUAGUAUAUAAGCAUGCAUUUUUAUA